Molecule: non-coding RNA, 277 nt
Organism: Arachis ipaensis
Lineage: Eukaryota; Viridiplantae; Streptophyta; Magnoliopsida; Fabales; Fabaceae
Source: RefSeq, a predicted model, not a curated record
AAAUGGAACUGGGGACAACAGAUAUGUUUAUGCAUUCAAUGAAUUGGUUAUUCCAUCAAUCCAGAAGUUUGGACCUGAUAUGAUUGUUUUGACAAUUGGACUAGACUCUAGUGCAUUUGAUCCAAAUGGAAGGCAAUGCUUAACAAUAGAGGGUUAUAGAAAAAUUGGGAAGAUUGUUCAUGAUCUUGCAAAACAGCACAGUGAUGGACGCCUUGUAAUUGUUCAAGAAGGUGGAUACCAUGUUACAUAUUCAGCAUACUAUUUACAUGCAUUUCUG